Non-coding RNA from Cyanistes caeruleus (blue tit), 144 nucleotides. NCBI's taxonomy places the organism in Eukaryota, Metazoa, Chordata, Aves, Passeriformes, Paridae. The record is from RefSeq and is a predicted model, not a curated record.
CAAGCUUUAUUUCACUGCAAGCUCUUCUUCCGGCUCCAGAUGCGUGUUUCUUCAAUGCUGCUGGCAGAAACUUCUCCAGCUCCAGAUGCGUGUUUCUUCAAUGCUUCGGGCUGAAACUUCUCCAGCUCCAGAUGCGUGUUUCUU